CUCCAGGUGGCUCUUUAUGAGAGCAAUGCAGAAGUGAGGGCAGUAAACAACCUUACAAAGGGAAGCCUUCCGGUGCAGGUGAAAGCAAGAAAUACAGCUCCAUCGCAUCCAGCGAGUAUAUUAAAGGCAGUUUCAUCUGUUACCAGAGCUCUAGAACUAUUUGUGAAACCUGAAGAGCCGGAUGGAGAGAAUUGCUAUAAAUGUAGCGAGUUCGUCUUAGCCUGCGGAUCCUAGAAAGCAACACGCAGUGUAUUCAGGAUUCUCAUAACUGAUAUCUGAGGAAGAGAAAGAACUGUAAUAGCACCUCACAUCUGAAUUGCAUGGUCCUUCCUUAAUGUGCUCUUUGAGGUGUGAUUGGUUCAGUCACACAUAAAGCCAGAAUUUUCCAUCUUUUUGUGAGUUUAAAAGGAAAGGCCUUACACAUGUACAGUACUUUUUCCAUUGCUGAUAACUGUUAUUAGUCUUAUAUAUAACUCAUUUUUAAUUUUUUUUUAUAUUUUAUAACUUAUUUCUUUAAGUUUUUUGGAAUUGUCAUUUUCUUUUAAUUUUCUACCACAAAUUCUUCCAAUAAAGACUAAACUAAAACUAAGACCA
Molecule: long non-coding RNA, 594 nt
Filed under: Anser brachyrhynchus (Pink-footed goose)
Lineage: Eukaryota; Metazoa; Chordata; Aves; Anseriformes; Anatidae
Description: lncRNA (ENSABRG00000013256.1)
Source: RNAcentral